This 403-nucleotide ribosomal RNA is filed under the name Verrucomicrobiota bacterium. RNAcentral's name for it is "Verrucomicrobia bacterium partial 16S ribosomal RNA". It matches the Rfam family "Bacterial small subunit ribosomal RNA", at positions 355 to 776 of the family's 1533-position model. Lineage: Bacteria; Pseudomonadati; Verrucomicrobiota. The record is from RNAcentral.
UGGGGAAUAUUGCACAAUGGAGGGAACUCUGAUGCAGCGACGCCGCGUGAGUGAUGAAGGCUUUCGAGUCGUAAAGCUCUGUCCUAUGAGAAGAUAAUGACGGUAUCAUAGGAGGAAGCCCUGGCUAAAUACGUGCCAGCAGCCGCGGUAAUACGUAUGGGGCGAGCGUUGUCCGGAAUUAUUGGGCGUAAAGGGUACGUAGGUGGUUUUUUAAGUCAGGUGUCAAAGCGUGGAGCUUAACUCCAUUAAGCACUUGAAACUGAAAGACUUGAGUGAAGGAGAGGAAAGUGGAAUUCCUAGUGUAGCGGUGAAAUGCGUAGAUAUUAGGAGGAAUACCGGUGGCGAAGGCGACUUUCUGGACUUUUACUGACGCUCAGGUACGAAAGCGUGGGGAGCAAACAGG